RNAcentral lists this ribosomal RNA (433 nucleotides) under uncultured bacterium. RNAcentral describes it as "bacterial SSU rRNA". It matches the Rfam family "Bacterial small subunit ribosomal RNA", at positions 28 to 455 of the family's 1533-position model. The record is from RNAcentral.
GAUGAACGCUAGCGGCAGGCCUAACACAUGCAAGUCGAGGGGCAUUAGGAGCUUGCUCCUAAGAGACCGGCGCACGGGUGCGUAACGCGUAUGCAAUCUACCUUGUACAGGGGAAUAGCCCAGAGAAAUUUUGGAUUAAUGCCCCAUAGUAUAAUUGAAUCGCAUGGUUUAAUUAUUAAAGUUCCAACGGUACAAGAUGAGCAUGCGUCCCAUUAGUUAGUUGGUAAGGUAACGGCUUACCAAGACAAUGAUGGGUAGGGGUCCUGAGAGGGAGAUCCCCCACACUGGUACUGAGACACGGACCAGACUCCUACGGGAGGCAGCAGUGAGGAAUAUUCGGUCGAAAUGGGGCGCAAGCCUGAACCAGCCAUGCCGCGUGACAGGAAGACGGUCCUAUGGAUUGUAAACUGNUUUUAUACAGGAAGAAACAACG